CACGUAUUUAGCCGUCACUUCUUCUGUUGGUACCGUCAUUUUUUCUUCCCAACUGAAAGCACUUUACAUUCCGAAAAACGUCAUCGUGCACACAGAAUUGCUGGAUCAGACUCUUGGUCCAUUGUCCAAUAUUCCCCACUGCUGCCUCCCGUAGGAGUAAGGGCCGUGUCUCAGUCCCCUUGUGGCCGUUCACCCUCUCAGGCCGGCUACCCAUCAUCGCCUUGGUGAGCCGUUACCUCUCCAACUAGCUAAUGGGACGCAAAGCUCUCUCACAGCGCGUAUAGCUUUCAUAAUUCUAAGAUGCCUUAAAAUCAUAAUAUCAGGUAUUAGCAUUCGUUUCCAAAUGUUGUCCCUAGCUGUGAGGCAAGUUCUUUACGCGUUACUCACCCGUCCGCCACCCAAAUCUAAGUUAAAAACCCAAUUCAAGUUGACUUGCAUGUGUUAAGCAUUCUGUCAGCGUUCAUCCUGAGCCAGGAUCAAACUCU
This 485-nucleotide ribosomal RNA is filed under the name uncultured Fusobacterium sp. RNAcentral's name for it is "partial 16S ribosomal RNA". Lineage: Bacteria; Fusobacteriati; Fusobacteriota; Fusobacteriia; Fusobacteriales; Fusobacteriaceae. The record is from RNAcentral.